UCUCUUAACGACUGUGCGACCCAGACCCGUAGUUAACAAAAGUACGAAUACUUUGCCACAAAAAAUCAAAACCCUUAAUUUGUGUAAACUUUUCUCGCUCCUCUCGAAAACUUCAUCCAUGGAUACUCUUCUCCUCGUUGGAAGCAAUGGCUAUGGAAGUGGAAACUCGCGAUAAAGACGGGAGAACAGAGAUUCCAAAGCUAAGAUACCAAGAAGUUCCACUUCGUUAAGUUUCUUCGCAGGGGAGAUCAAUGUGAUUUUGCUAAUUUCAUGGUUUUCUCCGCCGGUAUAUCUUUCUAGCAUGUUCAAAAUACCGCCUCAAGUUGUAGUUUAUAAGGCAGCUGGCGACGAUGGGUAACAUGCCAAAACAAUAGUAGCACCGUCACUGACACAAAGGUAGUUUCAUCGGCAUUGGCUCGAUGAUGGCCCCACCAUUUGGCUACGUUUCCAAAAGGAUCAACGUACUCACAAAAUUUACAACGUACCAGAGGGCCCUUCACCAAUGAAGAAAUCAAUCUGUGCAAAACAAAACAAAUACUUGUGAUCAAUUUAUUCUAUCUAAUGUCAACCAAUUGUUGUUAUGUUGAGAUCUUGAAAUGCUGAUAAAGAAUGAUUCGAAGGAAACCCCUGCUUUUCGGCCGUAAUCCCGUGAGUGUGGCAAAGGUGCUACUAGCAUAUUUGUAAUCUUCUGCAGUUCCAAUGUUCCAAUGGUCGCAGUGAUUCAAUCGCCGGUUGCGGUGGUUGUGGUUCGCGAAUCAGUUUUCGAACCAAAUAUGCUGGUGGCGGUGGUUGUGUUCGCGAAUCAGAUUUCGAUUUCUGUAAGAUUACUCCGAUUUCUUCGAUUUCGAUUUCUGUAAAUUUCUUUGAUAUCUUCGAUUUCGGUUUCUUCGAUUCUUAAAUCAACCGAUUUCAUUUUUCUGAGAUUCUAAAAUCAAUUGAUUUCUUCGAUUCUAAUAUCAAUCGAUUUUUCGAUUCUUAAAUCAAUCGAUUUCUCAAUUCAAAAAUAAAAUUCUAUUUCAAUGGAUUUCUCAAUUUAUCCAGAUUCAUGUUCUAAAUUCCAAUUCCAAAUCCUCAAAUCAGAUUAAAUUAAUUUAAUUAUUUUUUUGUUCUUUUUCAUGCGUUUAUUACAUCAAGAUCUCGAAGUGUUGUGUUGUUGUCUUCUCUGUUUGGUUGUUGGAGGCGGUUGGAUAUACUAGUACAGAUGCAUCACAAUUCACAACCUACAAACAUAUAUAAAUUCAUUAAAAACUAGCUAUGAUGUAUAUAUUCUUGAAUGCAAUUUAGAACAUUUUUGAAUAAUUUUAGAAUAUGCUUAAAUAAAUUUAGAACACUAUUGGAUGAAGAUAAAACAUUCUUGAAUAAAUUUAAAACACCUUUGAAUAAAGUUAGAACAUGUUUGAAUUAAUUUAGAACAUCCAUAAAUUUAGAACAUGCUUGAAUAAUUUUUGAAACACAGUUGAAUAAAGUUAGAACAUGCUUGGAAUUUUUUUGAAACACAGUUGAAUAAAGUUAGAACAUGCUGAAAGUUUGAAUAAAAUUUAGAACAUGCUUGAAUAAAUUUAGAACAUGUUUGAAUGGAUUUAGAACAUGCUUGAAUAAAUGUAGAAUAUGCUUGAAUAAAUUUAUAACAUGUUUAAUAAUUUUAGAACAUGCUUGAAUAAUUUUAGAACACGAGCCUUGAAAUUUAGAACAUGUAUAUAUGUAUAUGUGUUGACUAGCUAGGUUCUCAUGUUCUAAAUUUAGAACAUUGUUGAACAAAUUUAGAAUAUCGUUGAAUAAAUUUAGAACAUGGUUGAACAAAUUUAGAGCAUGGUUGAAUAAAUUUAGAACAUGCUUGAAUAAAUUUAGAACAUGAUUGAAUAAAUUUAGAACAUGGUUAAAUAAAUUUAGAACAUGAGCUUGAAAAUUGAGAACAUGGUUGAAUAAUUUUAGAACAUGGUUGAAUUAAUUUAGACAUGAGCUUGAAAAUUUAGAACAUGAUUGAAUAAAAUUAGAACAUGCUUGAAUAAAUUUGGAACAUGGUUAAAUAAUCUUAGAACAUGGUUGAACAAAUUUAGAACAUCGUUAAAUAAAUUUAGAACAUGCCUGGAUAAAUUUAGAACACGAUCUUGAAAAUUUAGAACAUUCAUAUAUGUAUUUGUGUUGACUUGUUCUAAAUUUAGAACAUGGUUGAAUAAAUUUAGAACAUGAGUGAACAAAUUUAGAACAUCGUCGAAUAAAUUUAGAACAUGCUUGUAUAAAUUUCAAACAAGGUUGAAUAAAUUUAGAACAUGGUUGAAUUAAUUUAGAACAUGGUUGAACAAAUUUAGUACAUGCUUGAAUAAUUUUAUAACAUGGUUGAACAAAUUUAGAACAUUUUUGAAUAAUUUUAGAACAUGGUUAACAAAAUUUAGAACAUGCUUGAUUAAAUUUAGAACAUGAUUGAAUAAUUUUAGAACAUGCUUGAAUUAAUUUAGAACAUGAGCUUAAAAUUUUGAAACAUGGUUGAAUAAAAUUAAAACAUGUUUGAAUAAAUUUAGAACAUGGUUGAAUAAAUUUAGAACAUGGUUGAAUAAAUUUAGAACAUGAGCUUGAAAUUUUAGAACAUUAUUAAAUAAAUUUAGAACAUGGUUGAAUAAAUUUAGAACAUGAUUGAAAAAAUUUAGAACAUGGUUGAACAAAUUUUGAACAUGGUUGAACAAAUUUUGAAAAUGUUUGAACAAAUUUUGAACAUGUUUGAACAAAUAUAGAACACGGAGAGUGUAAAAGUGUUCUUACCAUAAGAAGUGUUCUUACCAAAGGAGGUGGUAUAUAUAUAUAGGACCAGGUUCUUGUGAGAACCUCCCUUAAGAUGAGAACCUCUCCUAUAAUGAGAACCAUUAGCAACCAUAUGAUUUAGAUGGAAUGAACGGAUGAGAUUUAAUCUCAUAAAUUCGGUUUUUGUCAAAAUACACUGACAUCUUUCUCUCUCUACUUCCCAAAAUACCUCAUAUUCUCUCUCUUGCUCUUGAAAAGCGACGCACGGUUUCUGGCUUUUUCGAAAGCCUCGUUCUUCAAAUUCCCGAAAUUCGUCCAAGAUUCGGUAAAUUAUUCAAUCUGAAGUUAAAAAUUUUGAAUACUAAUUGUUUAAUUUGAUUAAUUAAAUCUAAUUUCUUUUGCAGCAGUAUUUCAAUUAACUUGAAUCUGCAAUCAUCAAGUUCAAAAUUGAAGAUUGAAUUUGCUGCGAAAUGCCUAAAGACAAGGUCAAGAGUUGCGAGUUCAAUCCAAAUUGAUUUCUAGGAAGUUGUGGGAGCAGCGCCCUCGUGAUGGACAGAAACAACAACCUCUUAGGUGGGUGUACAACAGUUUGUAACAAUAGCAGUCAUAUGGUAAUAGAUAACUGCACUGGUCGUGGGUGUUGCAGAUUUGAUCUCCUUCUUCAAUUGAGUUUUAUCGCGUAAACAUUUUCAACUUUGCUGAUAAUUGCACAAAUACAAUGCUGGUAAACAUGAGUUCGCCGACUAUUAGUGAGGCUGUUGAUCCGAUUCUGUUUAUGUUUGCAGUAGUUCCGACUAUAC
Long non-coding RNA from Spinacia oleracea (spinach), 3536 nucleotides. RefSeq lists it as uncharacterized. The record is from RefSeq and is a predicted model, not a curated record. Lineage: Eukaryota; Viridiplantae; Streptophyta; Magnoliopsida; Caryophyllales; Amaranthaceae. The transcript has 6 exons.